AAGUCGUAACAAGGUUUCCGUAGGUGAACCUGCGGAAGGAUCAUUACCAAAAGUUUAAUCCAAAACUCUUCAACCCUAUGUGCACAAUGGCUUUUGUCUGUCUUUGGGGUGAUGCGAAUUGUUUCGAUAAUUUGCUUUGCCCCACAUUUGUUAAACCCUUUUUGUAUUUAAUUUGGAAUGUUUUUUAAAAUAAAUAAAAAUGGACAACUUUUAACGGUGGAUCUCUUGGCUCGUG
RNAcentral lists this unclassified non-coding RNA (235 nucleotides) under fungal sp. RNAcentral's name for it is "partial internal transcribed spacer region". The stretch from base 1 to 46 matches the Rfam family "Eukaryotic small subunit ribosomal RNA", at positions 1786 to 1831 of the family's 1831-position model. The record is from RNAcentral. Lineage: Eukaryota; Fungi.